RNAcentral lists this ribosomal RNA (615 nucleotides) under Scathophaga incola. Its description in RNAcentral is "partial 12S ribosomal RNA". The record is from RNAcentral. Lineage: Eukaryota; Metazoa; Arthropoda; Insecta; Diptera; Scathophagidae.
AAUUAUUUCAAUUUUCUUUCACAAUACUAUUACACUAUAAUUAAAAUUAUUUUUUCUUUAUUAAAUACUAAAACAAAUCUUUAUAUAAUUAUUUUUAAUAAUUUAAAAUUUAAAAAAUAUAAAUUAAUAAAUAAAAUAUAAUCAAUUUAUAUUGAUUUGCACAAAAAUCUUUUCAAUGUAAAUGAAAUGCUUUACUGAAUAAGCUUUAAAUUGCAUUCUAGGUACACUUUCCAGUACAUCUACUAUGUUACGACUUAUCUUACCUUAAUAGUAAGAGUGACGGGCGAUGUGUGCAUAUUUUAGAGCUAAAAUCAAAUUAUUAAUCUUUAUAAUUUUACUAUCAAAUCCACCUUCAAUAAAUAUUUCAAAUUUAUAUUCGUAUAAAUAAAUUUAUUGUAACCCAUUUCUACUUAAAUAUAAGCUACACCUUGAUCUGAUAUAUUUUCUUUUUAAAAAUUACGAAAAUUAACAUUCUUAUAAAAUAUUCUAAUAACAACGGUAUAUAAACUGAAUACAAACUUAAGUGAGGUCCAUCGUGGAUUAUCGAUUAUAGAACAGGUUCCUCUGAAUAGACUAAAAUACCGCCAAAUUUUUUAAGUUUCAAGAACAUAACUA